AGCAGCCGCGGUAAUUCCAGCUCCAAUAGCGUAUAUUAAAGUUGUUGCAGUUAAAAAGCUCGUAGUUGAACUUCGGGGUUUACCCAUUGGUCAGGCUUAAUUGUCUGUACUGGUGAGAUAAACCUCUACCUUCUGAGGAACUUUCAUGUCAUUAAUUUGGUGUGAUUGGAAAUCAGGACUGUUACUUUGAAAAAAUUAGAGUGUUUAAAGCAGGCUAACGUCUGAAUACAUUAGCAUGGAAUAAUGAAAUAGGACGGACUGAUUCUAUUUCGUUGGUUUCUAGGAUCACCGUAAUGAUUAAUAGGGAUAGUUGGGGCAUUAGUAUUCAAUUGUCAGAGGUGAAAUUCUUGGAUUUAUUGAAGACUAACUACUGCGAAAGCAUUUGCCAAGGAUGUUUUCAUUAAUCAAGAACGAAAGUUAGGGGAUCGAAGACGAUCAGAUACCGUCGUAGUCUUAACCAUAAACUAUGCCGACUAGGGAUCGGACGAAGUUAAUUUUAUAAUGACGCGUUCGGCACCUU
This 520-nucleotide ribosomal RNA is filed under the name uncultured Diversispora. RNAcentral describes it as "SSU rRNA". It matches the Rfam family "Eukaryotic small subunit ribosomal RNA", at positions 569 to 1089 of the family's 1831-position model. The record is from RNAcentral. Lineage: Eukaryota; Fungi; Glomeromycota; Glomeromycetes; Diversisporales; Diversisporaceae.